AGCGAACGCUGGCGGCAGGCUUAACACAUGCAAGUCGAGCGGGCACUUUCGGGUGUCAGCGGCGGACGGGUGAGUAACGCGUGGGAACGUGCCCUCUGGUUCGGAAUAACUCAGGGAAACUUGAGCUAAUACCGGAUACGCCCUUUUGGGGAAAGGCUUGCUGCCGGAGGAUCGGCCCGCGUCUGAUUAGCUAGUUGGUGAGGUAACGGCUCACCAAGGCGACGAUCAGUAGCUGGUCUGAGAGGAUGAUCAGCCACACUGGGACUGAGACACGGCCCAGACCCCUACGGGAGGCAGCAGUGGGGAAUAUUGGACAAUGGGCGCAAGCCUGAUCCAGCCAUGCCGCGUGAGUGAUGAAGGCCUUAGGGUUGUAAAGCUCUUUUAUCCGGGACGAUAAUGACGGUACCGGAGGAAUAAGCCCCGGCUAACUUCGUG
This 435-nucleotide ribosomal RNA is filed under the name uncultured bacterium. Its description in RNAcentral is "partial 16S ribosomal RNA". It matches the Rfam family "Bacterial small subunit ribosomal RNA", at positions 29 to 507 of the family's 1533-position model. The record is from RNAcentral.